Molecule: non-coding RNA, 25 nt
Filed under: Trypanosoma brucei brucei
Lineage: Eukaryota; Euglenozoa; Kinetoplastea; Trypanosomatida; Trypanosomatidae
Source: RNAcentral
AUAUAUAGAUGACCACCAUUACUCU